CUUAGAGCUUGAUCCUGGCUCAGGAUGAACGCUGGCGGUAUGCUUAACACAUGCAAGUCGAACGGUGUCUUCGGACAUAGGGCGGACGGGUGAGUAACGCGUGAGAAUCUAGCUUCAGGUCUGGGACAACCACUGGAAACGGUGGCUAAUACCGGAUGUGCCGGAAGGUGAAAGGCUUGCUGCCUGAAGAUGAGCUCGCGUCCGAUUAGCUAGUAGGUGGGGUAAGAGCCUACCUAGGCGACGAUCGGUAGCUGGUCUGAGAGGAUGACCAGCCACACUGGGACUGAGACACGGCCCAGACUCCUACGGGAGGCAGCAGUGGGGAAUUUUCCGCAAUGGGCGAAAGCCUGACGGAGCAAUACCGCGUGAGGGAGGAAGGCUCUUGGGUUGUAAACCUCUUUUCUCAGGGAAGAACACAAUGACGGUACCUGAGGAAUCAGCAUCGGCUAACUCCGUGCCAGCAGCCGCGGUAAUACGGAGGAUGCAAGCGUUAUCCGGAAUGAUUGGGCGUAAAGCGUCCGCAGGUGGCUGUGUAAGUCUGCUGUCAAAGAGCAAAGCUCAACUUUGUAAAGGCAGUGGAAACUACACGGCUAGAGUGCGUUCGGGGCAGAGGGAAUUCCUGGUGUAGCGGUGAAAUGCGUAGAGAUCAGGAAGAACACCGGUGGCGAAGGCGCUCUGCUAGGCCGCAACUGACACUGAGGGACGAAAGCUAGGGGAGCGAAUGGGAUUAGAUACCCCAGUAGUCCUAGCUGUAAACGAUGGAU
RNAcentral lists this ribosomal RNA (764 nucleotides) under uncultured bacterium. Its description in RNAcentral is "bacterial SSU rRNA". It matches the Rfam family "Bacterial small subunit ribosomal RNA", at positions 1 to 814 of the family's 1533-position model. The record is from RNAcentral.